Molecule: long non-coding RNA, 583 nt
Filed under: Rattus norvegicus (Norway rat)
Lineage: Eukaryota; Metazoa; Chordata; Mammalia; Rodentia; Muridae
Description: long non-coding RNA NONRATT031626
Source: RNAcentral
CCGUAACAGAGCUCCUGGGGUACCCUUAGGAACAACAGACUGAAAAAGUGGAAAGAAAUGAAGGAGAAGGCCAACUGCUGUGCCAAGGAUGGUGUCACUAGACAUGGUGAGGUGUCUGUGGCCUUGCAAAUUGAGCUCGUGAUGUUGUGGAAGGGCGUCCAGAGAGACAAAGAGACUCCCCAGAACCUUCUGAACUGUGAAACUGAAGCUCUAUCCAUUAUAAAACAAAGUUCCUUCUUCCUGUACUGACGGAGUGUAUGGCUGGUUGAUCUUCAACUUAAGUUCCAAGAAAGCAUGGUGGUUUCUCAACGGUUCAGGGAAAAACAUUGGGAAAACAUGUGGUCACACAAAAUAACCAAAUCUAAUUCCUAUUUCAAACAUGCAAAGUCAGUUUAUAAUUGACUAAAAUUUAAGUGUAAAACCUAAAAUUGAAACUGUUAAAAGAGAGCAGAGAAAAGUUUCUUGGUGUGGAAUUAGUCAUUAUUAUUUAAAUAUAACCUGAUAGCCCGGUUUAAAAAAAAUCAAAACUAUGUAAGGGAAUCUCAUCAAGCUACAGUCACUUGAAUAUCAAAGGAAAUAAUAA